CGCUAUCAUCCUACGGGAGGCAGCAUGGGGAAUAUUGCACAAUGGGCGCAAGCCUGAUGCAGCCAUGCCGCGUGUAUGAAGAAGGCCUUCGGAUUGUAAAGUACUUUCAGCAGUGAGGAAGGCGGGUACGUUAAUAGCGUGCUUGUUUGACGUUAGCUGCAGAAGAAGCACCGGCUAACUCCGUGCCAGCAGCCGCGGUAAUACGGAGGGUGCGAGCGUUAAUCGGAAUUACUGGGCGUAAAGCGCAUGCAGGUGGUUUGUUAAGUCAGAUGUGAAAGCCCGGGGCUCAACCUCGGAAUUGCAUUUGAAACUGGCAGACUAGAGUACUGUAGAGGGGGGUAGAAUUUCAGGUGUAGCGGUGAAAAUGCGUAGAGAUCUGAAGGAAUACCGGUGGCGAAGGCGGCCCCCUGGACAGAUACUGACACUCAGAUGCGAAAGCGUGGGGAGCAAACAGGAUUAGAUACCCUGGUAG
Molecule: ribosomal RNA, 472 nt
Filed under: uncultured bacterium
Lineage: Bacteria
Description: bacterial SSU rRNA
Rfam family: Bacterial small subunit ribosomal RNA
Source: RNAcentral